UGGGGAAUUUUGGACAAUGGGCGAAAGCCUGAUCCAGCAAUGCCGCGUGUGUGAAGAAGGCCUUCGGGUUGUAAAGCACUUUUGUCCGGAAAGAAAUCCUUGGCUCUAAUACAGUCGGGGGAUGACGGUACCGGAAGAAUAAGCACCGGCUAACUACGUGCCAGCAGCCGCGGUAAUACGUAGGGUGCAAGCGUUAAUCGGAAUUACUGGGCGUAAAGCGUGCGCAGGCGGUUUGCUAAGACCGAUGUGAAAUCCCCGGGCUCAACCUGGGAACUGCAUUGGUGACUGGCAGGCUAGAGUAUGGCAGAGGGGGGUAGAAUUCCACGUGUAGCAGUGAAAUGCGUAGAGAUGUGGAGGAAUACCGAUGGCGAAGGCAGCCCCCUGGGCCAAUACUGACGCUCAUGCACGAAAAGCGUGGGGAGCAAAACAGGAUUAGAUACCCUGGUAGUCCACGCCCUAAAACGAUGUCAACUAGUUGUUGGGGGAUUCAUUUUCCUUAGUAACGUAGCUAACGCGUGAAGUUGACCGCCUGGGGAGUACGGUCGCAAGAUUAAAACUCAAAUGAAUUGAC
This 571-nucleotide ribosomal RNA is filed under the name uncultured bacterium. RNAcentral describes it as "partial 16S ribosomal RNA". It matches the Rfam family "Bacterial small subunit ribosomal RNA", at positions 355 to 914 of the family's 1533-position model. The record is from RNAcentral.